UGAAAGGUAAAAUAGGAAAAUUGGAAGGGUGUUUGGAUAAAGAUUGUAUUUGAUAGAAUUAGGGUUUGAUUUGGAUUCCUUAUGGGCCAUAGUUUAGAAAUAUUGUGAGGACCAUAUUCAUUGUACUGUGAAGACCAUCUUCACCACUCACAAAAAUGGCUUCGAUUCAUCACAAAGUUUUUGUUUGUAUUCGAUUCGACGGUCCAACCAACUUCUUGCUGUGGAACCCUACAUAACCCAAUCUUUAAACUUUCAAUUCAAUACUUCCAAUUCCCACCAUUAAAAUCUCCAGCUUUCCUCCUUGUAAACAAACACUGCUCAAACUGACACAUGUUUACAAUUUUGAUGAUGUUCCAACUCUUGUCUCUUUGUAUCAUUGGUGGGUAGGAGGGUUGUCCCCCAUCCCACCAUGCUUCCUGUCCUUUUCUUCAUUUCUCAAACCUCCACACAUUCACACAAACAAAUACUCUAUUUGAAUUUACUAAUGUAAGUAAGUAAACACACCAGCUCAAGGACUAAUCUAUAUUGAAAAAUUACAGGACACAUUGAGAUCAAGCCCAGCAGAAAACAAAGCAAUGAAGAAGGCAAGUUUUGUAGGCAUCACAACCACUAGUCUUUUUUACAUACUAUGUGGUUGUGUUGGAUAUGCAGCAUUCGGAAACGAUGCACCUGGAAAUUUCCUUACUGGCUUCGGCUUCUACGAGCCCUUUUGGCUCAUUGACUUUGCUAAUGUCUGCAUUGUUGUCCACCUAAUUGGUGCUUACCAGGUGAAACCACUCGACCACAUUCUCAAUUAUACAACGGGGUAUUUUGUUUAACAACCAAAUUCAGGGGGUCCCACUCGUAAAAUAAGAAAACCCUGUUGCAAACGGUUAUGGAAAUGUAUAUAUCAUAUGUAGGGAUUUUCAAUGCACCAUCGAUUUAUGGAUUUGUGCCUCUGGAAUCUAUGAUCGACGAUGGCAUCGAAAUUAACUACAUUUUAUACAUUUUUGAACUCCCACACGAAUGCCAUCAUUUAGGCUUGGCUUAAUCUUGCUACUCCUAUUAGCUUAUGUUCUAAGUUUUCAAAAUGAAUACUAUAUAACAUGCAGGUCUUCUGCCAACCAUUUUAUGGGUUUGUGGAAAAAUGGUGCAACAAAAAGUGGCCAGAAAGCACAUUCAUAACAACAGAGCACACCAUCAACUUACCUUUCAAUGGAGAGUAUCAGCUCAACUACUUCAGAUUGAUUUGGAGGACGAUAUAUGUUAUAUUGACGGCUGUGGUAGCUAUGAUAUUCCCAUUCUUCAAUGAUUUCCUUGGAUUGAUUGGGGCAGCUUCAUUUUGGCCAUUGACUGUAUACUUCCCCGUAG
This 1350-nucleotide long non-coding RNA is filed under the name Cucumis sativus (cucumber). RNAcentral describes it as "long non-coding RNA (CSAT_LNC001340)". The record is from RNAcentral. Lineage: Eukaryota; Viridiplantae; Streptophyta; Magnoliopsida; Cucurbitales; Cucurbitaceae.